UGAUGGUUUGAUGGCCAUCGUCUGAACUAGUUAUGGUUGCUGUCCCUUAGCAGGCAGGCAGCAGAUGCUAAUGAGUAUGUUCAGAGUGAGUGUCACCACUGUAGCUUCUUGUUGAUGGGCGCAGUUGAUGAUAGUGUUGACGAACUGACCUCUGUUUAUAACUCCUCUCUCCAAAACCACUCUGGAAACCACAGAGACGCAUAAAGAAUAACAUUCAAAGUGAAAUUGCAAUUCAUUGUGCUUAGGGAACAGAAAGAUUGUGAAUAAAUGAACCAAAGAUGGAAGUAAUGUCAGGCUGUGUGUCGGUUGUAUAUCAAUUCCAACUUUAAUAGACACACACACACACACACACCACAUACAUUUGCCAAACAUUUAUAUACAUUUGCCCACAGUGUAUUAAUAAUAAACAGCCGAGACCACUAGUGUUGCUUGUUGUACUUUCAGCUCUAUAUUGAGCACAAGCUUAGGGUGAUAGGUGUGUCUAAGAAUGACAGCGAGACACUUCCUCUUCGAUGGUAAAAGCGUUUUUUUUUUUUUUUGGCCAACCUCCCGCUUUAGAGGAAGAGAAGUGUACUUAGCAUAGAUGUGUGAGGAGAGAAAGUGUCACAUGUCUGCUUCAGAGCCUACUCAAAUGGUAGCGCGAAUCUAAAGAGUGACCCGGUGCUGUCGGGUUCGGGUCUCGGAUCAGUCUCAAAUCAUCAGCGUUUUCUGUGAAGUUGAUGGAGUAAUGACAAGGUGAAGAUCCACUCUGAUGUCUGCUGGUGGUUUGGGGAUGGAUGACUCGAUGGAGGAAACAAGGGCCGUACCAUUAAGGCAAUCGAAGGAAGGUUGUGUCCUCACGAGACAACCCGCGACGAAACGCUACAGUGAGAUUUUACGGGACUUCGAUAACUUGGAGCUGUCCUUAUGUUGCAGCCCGUCUCCGGAGGAGCUACUCGGAGACUCUGAUAUUCAGUCGCUCUCAGAGACAGUAGACACGACGUUGGAUGAUUUGUCUAGUGAAGACGUGGAAAGCACACUGGUCUGUCCUGAUGAAGAAGAAAAAGAUGGUGGCAUGUCGGGUACAUCCCUAGCGCAAUGCUUGAAAGAGAAAGAGAGAAGCGUUUGUUUGCGUGUGUGUGUGUGUGUGUGUGCUUGUUUUAUAAAUACAGCUACAUGUUCAAAGUCAUAAACAGGAUUCAAACGAAGCCAUGACUCACAGUUCG
Long non-coding RNA from Ictalurus punctatus (channel catfish), 1205 nucleotides. Lineage: Eukaryota; Metazoa; Chordata; Actinopteri; Siluriformes; Ictaluridae. The record is from Ensembl.